AAACUUUCAACAAUGGAUCUCUUGGUUCUGGCAUCGAUGAAGAACGCAGCGAAAUGCGAUAAGUAAUGUGAAUUGCAGAAUUCAGUGAAUCAUCGAAUCUUUGAACGCACAUUGCGCCCCCUGGUAUUCCGGAGGGCACACCUGUUCGAGCGUCAU
Molecule: ribosomal RNA, 156 nt
Filed under: Jahnula sp. SS3792
Lineage: Eukaryota; Fungi; Ascomycota; Dothideomycetes; Jahnulales; Aliquandostipitaceae
Description: 5.8S ribosomal RNA
Rfam family: 5.8S ribosomal RNA
About the family: 5.8S ribosomal RNA (5.8S rRNA) is a component of the large subunit of the eukaryotic ribosome. It is transcribed by RNA polymerase I as part of the 45S precursor that also contains 18S and 28S rRNA.
Source: RNAcentral